RNAcentral lists this ribosomal RNA (201 nucleotides) under Klebsiella pneumoniae. RNAcentral's name for it is "partial 16S ribosomal RNA". It matches the Rfam family "Bacterial small subunit ribosomal RNA", at positions 371 to 564 of the family's 1533-position model. The record is from RNAcentral. Lineage: Bacteria; Pseudomonadati; Pseudomonadota; Gammaproteobacteria; Enterobacterales; Enterobacteriaceae.
AUGGGCGCAAGCCUGAUGCAGCCAUGCCGCGUGUGUGAAGAAGGCCUUCGGGUUGUAAAGCACUUUCAGCGGGGAGGAAGGCGUUAAGGUUAAUAACCUUGGCGAUUGACGUUACCCGCAGAAGAAGCACCGGCUAACUCCGUGCCAGCAGCCGCGGUAAUACGGAGGGUGCAAGCGUUAAUCGGAAUUACUGGGCGUAAA